Molecule: ribosomal RNA, 301 nt
Filed under: uncultured bacterium
Lineage: Bacteria
Description: partial 16S ribosomal RNA
Rfam family: Bacterial small subunit ribosomal RNA
Source: RNAcentral
CAGUAGCCGCGGUAAUACGUAGGUGGCAAGCGUUGUCCGGAAUGAUUGGGCGUAAAGGGCGCGCAGGCGGCUGUGUAAGUCUGUCUAGAAAGUGCGGGGCUAAACCCCGUGAGAGGAUGGAAACUGGACAGCUGAGAGUGUCGGAGAGGAAAGCGGGAUUCCUAGUGUAGCGGUGAAAUGCGUAGAUAUUAGGAGGAACACCGGUGGCGAAAGCGGCUUUCUGGACGACAACUGACGCUGAGGCGCGAAAGCCAGGGGAGCAAACGGGAUUAGAGACCCCUGUAGUCCCUGUCUCUUAUAC